Long non-coding RNA from Cucumis melo (muskmelon), 2601 nucleotides. RefSeq lists it as uncharacterized. The transcript is spliced from 2 exons. Lineage: Eukaryota; Viridiplantae; Streptophyta; Magnoliopsida; Cucurbitales; Cucurbitaceae. The record is from RefSeq and is a predicted model, not a curated record.
UUCUCCUCCUUCUUCUUCAUCUUCUUCAUUCUUCUAGAGAGACCGACGACACCCCCCCCUCUCUUUCGAAAAUCUCUUCACCACUGACCAAAGAGCCGCCACCAUUUCGUCUCUUCUCGACCAUCAAAACCAGCGGCCGCUCGAUGUUCGUUUAUGCACUACCCAUUAUUGAUUUUUGAGCUUCAGACGUCGGGUUCGUUGAGCCACACACCGACCAGCCGCCGCCCAAUCGUCAAACACCACAUUGGUUGCUACUUUGCGUCGUGCUGGGCCACCCUCUGUCAUCGCUAGCCUCACUGAAUUUAGAAGUUGAGGUUAUGUAUGAAAGAAGGGAGGUUAUGUGAAAUUGAGGCUGAAGAGGAAGAAGAGAACUUUGGAAAAGUGACAGCUAUAACAGCAAUGUGGUAAACAUAGACCACCUCUGAUGUUCUAAUCGGUUUGAGCUACACAAAAAGAAUUAAGAGGUGAGUUUUAAAUUCUAUGAAAUCUAAUUCAGUUUUGAACAAAUGUUAUGAAUGAAGCUUAAGCAAAUUCUGAGGUUUAUUGGGUGAAUUUUCACACAAAAGAUAGAGCAAGUGUUUUUCACGCGAAAUCAGAAGAUCUCUGUUAGUUUUAGCAUUUUAGGGUGUACCAGUAGAGUUAGGAUCUCUAUUUAGUAUGGUUGGAAAGCUUAUUCAAUGUACUACAACUUUUAUGAAGAAAUUGUGAGCUAAAUAUGUUUAGAAGUAAGUUUAAUUUCAUAAACAAGUCAGGGGAUAGCAGAAGACUCCGUUUUUGAACAUUCUCUGUUUCGGGCCAAUACUGUAGCAAUCUGUUGGGAAUCGUAUUUUUCUUCCUUCAGAUAACUUAUAGAGGCCAUCAAAAUGAAAAGUUUGACAUAACGAACACUCAUUUUGGUUAAGUAUUGAAAGAGUUAUGAUCAUUUGAAGUUUACAUUACGAAUCUGAAAAUUUUUGAGAAAUGUGUUGUCGAGGUAAUUUUGAUAUGGUUUUAGAUAACUUUUAGUGGGUUCUCUCAUGUUUGGGUGCUUGUGACGUUAAGAGAUUAAUGUGAUGCUAAGGGUCCAAAGUUGGAAUUUUUAGAAUAGAUUAAAAUAUGAAGGGAUAAUUAAAUUUAAGUCUUGGAAGAGAGAAAUUGGAGUCUUUGGAGCAUAAAAUAGUUUGAGUUGGCUUAUUAGAGUAUGUUGAAGAUUGUUGUGUCGUCUUGCUUUGUAAAGUUAAUUGAUAAACCUUAAUCUUGUUUCAUGCUAAAUCGAAGUGGGAAAGGCGUAAAAUCUCGGGAGAUCGAGUAAUUGAUUGUGAGUGGCGUAAAUUCAAGUAUUUUCAUUAUAAAUCUAGUAUAAUUGUUCUAGUAUGAAAAUUUAGAAUAUGAUUGCCUUAUGAUUUAUGUGUUAUAAAGGUUUUCAAAUGUGAUUUUCGGUUUUCCAUGAACUCUUGUAUUUCGAAACUGUGGUUGAACCCAAACUUAUUAAGUAAGUUUAGAUGACAACUUGUUUAUAAACAUUCAUUGAUUUGUAACUAGAUUCGAAGGAGUUCUAAAAGUAUGUAUUGAUGGCUUAGGAUCCAUAUAUGUGAAAACGUGUUUCUAACCAUGUUUGAUUUGUUUUCAAACUUGAAAUGUGUGACAUUAUGGAUGUUGGUGAUUACCCUUAAGGCUACAAGAAUGUAUUUCUGUAGCGCCACAUACGGUUGUCAGGGGAUUCCGUGGCUGAAAGAGGCCGUGAUCCGAGAUCCGAGAACUUGAGCCUAGGUGAGGACGUGGAUGAAGGAUUAUGAUAUGGCUUCGGGCCUAGCUUAACCCAUGGUUGGGUGGCUCUAUGUGCACAUAGAAUCUGUAUGUUGCUACCGUGGUAGGUGCUAAGUAUGCGUGAGCUCCGUUUGACCGAGUGUUUCCUUGUGGAUUGGAUCACGUGUGAGCUAUCCUUGGGUCGUAUGCUUAGUAUGCUAUCAUGGUUUCAUUGGAUUGAUUGGAUCAGAUUGGAUGAAGGUUGUUAUCGUGGCGAGCACUAAAUAUGUGUGAGCUAGUUUUGGCCGCAUGAUUUUUUAUCAUGUGUGAGCUAUCUUUGGCCGUAUAUUUAGAUGCCUUGCCAUGGUUGAUUGGGUACAGGUUUGUUGGCCUUACUUUUGGUUUAUGGUAAUAUACGAUUUUAACGUUGUAAUUAUUAUUUCGUUAUUGAGGUUAUAUUUAAACGAUUUGAAGAUAUGUUUUAUAAGCUUUUACUUUUAAAACUUGUCACUCAUUGAGAUUUAGCUCACGUUUUCAAUGUUUUCUCCCCCUCCCUCAGGUAGCGGUCAAGAACCAAGCAUUGGUUGAGCUUCCCGUCAUUAAUCGUAGAUUUUCAUUCUUUUCGUAUGUUUUUAAUUCAAGUUUGUAUUUGUAUAAUGGGGUGCUUAGAAGUAAUGAGGGUCACGCCAAGGUCAUGUGUUUUGAGACACUUUUAGACUGUAAUUAUUUCUUGGCUAGUAUCUAGUCUGAUAAUGAGUUCUUCCUGAAAUUCUGAAUGAGAUUCUUAAAUUGUUUGGAUGAGUGUGUGGUGAGACACACUCGAUGAUAUUUGAGUUUCUUUUAUAAAAAAAAACAUAGAUGUGUGAUUUUCUUCUA